UACGUAGGGUGCAAGCGUUGUCCGGAAUUACUGGGCGUAAAGCGCGCGUAGGCGGAUUGUUAAGUCAGGGGUGAAAUCCUGGAGCUCAACUCCAGAACUGCCUUUGAUACUGGCGAUCUCGAGUCCGGGAGAGGUGAGUGGAACUGCGAGUGUAGAGGUGAAAUUCGUAGAUAUUCGCAAGAACACCAGUGGCGAAGGCGGCUCACUGGCCCGGUACUGACGCUGAGGUGCGAAAGCGUGGGGAGCAAACAGG
This 253-nucleotide ribosomal RNA is filed under the name uncultured bacterium. RNAcentral describes it as "partial 16S ribosomal RNA". It matches the Rfam family "Bacterial small subunit ribosomal RNA", at positions 524 to 776 of the family's 1533-position model. The record is from RNAcentral.